Non-coding RNA from Drosophila melanogaster (fruit fly), 582 nucleotides. The record is from Ensembl. Lineage: Eukaryota; Metazoa; Arthropoda; Insecta; Diptera; Drosophilidae.
AACAAAACGAAAGCCAGAAAGGCAGCUGUAAACAUAUUUCCCAUAUUACGUCACAGUGGCUUGUCAAAGAGGACAACAUCAAAUGAUGGCAAGGAAAGCAAGCUGCCUGCCAUAAACAACAAGAACCAAAAGGACAAAUAAACAAACAGCAGUUAAGGGCUGGGAAAAUGGGGUGGGAAAACGCGGGGAAAUCCGCCAGCGAGCCAUAAAAAUAGCUGAGGCCAAAAGCAUUCAAACUUAUGCUGGGACAGAGCCACCGAAAGCUGGAUCACGGAUGGCGCUUAUAUUUUAUUGCUAUUAUCCUGUUUACCCCAUGUUUACGCACACACACAAGCACACAAACAGGAGCGCACACAGACGAGGGGGAGCACAUGUUCGGUUGUGCGAUGGUGUGCGAAUUAGUUGUGGCAGUCAAAUGAGAGUGGUGCCUCGAUUUUUGCCUUCUCAUUGUUAUUUCACCAUACACUUUCCGAACGGGUAUGGAUGAUCCACAUGAUCUGUGCUAUAUGAUUACACAUAUUUGGCUUGCACUAUUAAAUACAGUUCGUAAUUAAAUACUUUAAUCUAAUAAAACCUCACCAG